CAGUCGCCGCGGUAAUACGUAGAUGGCAAGCGUUGUCCGGAAUUAUUGGGCGUAAAGGGCUCACAGGCGGUUUCUUAAGUCCGAUGUGAAAGCCCCCGGCUCAACCGGGGAGGGUCAUUGGAAACUGGGAAACUUGAGUGCAGAAGAGGAGAGUGGAAUUCCACGUGUAGCGGUGAAAUGCGUAGAGAUGUGGAGGAACACCAGUGGCGAAGGCGACUCUCUGGUCUGUAACUGACGCUGAGGUGCGAAAGCGUGGGGAGCAAACAGGAUUAGAUACCCCUGUAGUCCCUGUCUCUUAUAC
RNAcentral lists this ribosomal RNA (301 nucleotides) under uncultured bacterium. RNAcentral's name for it is "partial 16S ribosomal RNA". It matches the Rfam family "Bacterial small subunit ribosomal RNA", at positions 509 to 807 of the family's 1533-position model. The record is from RNAcentral.